Long non-coding RNA from Camelus dromedarius (Arabian camel), 4048 nucleotides. RefSeq lists it as uncharacterized. NCBI's taxonomy places the organism in Eukaryota, Metazoa, Chordata, Mammalia, Artiodactyla, Camelidae. The record is from RefSeq and is a predicted model, not a curated record. The transcript is spliced from 2 exons.
CCACCGGACCUGAGCGGCCUGGGGCUCCCUUCCCGCCCCCGCCUCGGCGCGCGCUGGCGUGUUCCGGGGCAGAUCCUGCGCCCCGGCAGUCCGUCCCCCGGUGUCCAGCCUCUGGCGAGGCCACCGCAUCCGGCAGCGCAGGUUUCCCGGCUCCGGGGGGGUCCGGAGCCCGCAGAGCUGCUCCCGCGGCCGCGGCGGGGCGUGCGCCCGGGCCAGAGCUGCUCGCGUCCCCAGCCCGCCCGGCGCCCCGCCGCCAGGCCCGGGCGGGUGUUGGCGGCGCGCCUGGCGCUGAGUCAGCCGACAUCUCCAGCCAGCCUUAGUGCCCCCUCCAGUGGAUGAAGCCCAAGAAUGAGCAUUCCGAGCAGCUCUGACAAUCGACCGCAUCCAAACUUGAGUUGAACUGAAGCAUUGUGCUGUACACCAGAAAUUGACACAUUUUAAACUCACUGUACUUCAAUAAAUAUAUAUUUUUUAAAAAUAUUUAAAAAAUACAAACUAACUUAUUUACAAAACAGAAACAGACUCAGACAUAGAAAACAAACUUAUGGUUACCAGUGGGAAGGGAUAAAUUGGGAGUUUGAGAUUUGCAGAUACUACUAUAUAUAAAAUAGAUAAACAACAAGUUUAUACUGUACAGCACAGGGAACCAUAUUCAGUAUCUUGUAGUAACCUAUGGUGAAGAAGAAUAUGAGAACGAAUAUAUGUGUGUUCCUAUGUGACUGAAGCAUUGUGCUGUACACAGAAAUUGACACAACAUUGUAAACUGACUGUACUUCAAUAAAAACAUUAAAAAAUAGAUAAAACUCAAGUCGAAGGUUUUUUUCCCACACUGUAGACUGUCCUCUCCUGAUGCUGUCUACUAACACCCAGUCUUUUUAUUUAGAAAGUUUGAAUUUACCAAAAAGGUUGCCAAUAUAACACCCUUUACUCAGAUUACCCUGACAUUAAAAUGUCUCAUAUAACCACAGUGUAAGGAUGAAAGCCAGGGAAUCACAGUGUUAUAAUACCAUUAAGUCAUCUACUGAACUGAUUUGAAUUUUGCCACAUCCCACUGAUGUCCUGUUUCUGGGCCAGGGUCCCAUUCAGAAUCCCACAUGUCCGUUAGUUGUCAUGUUGCCUUCGUCUCCUCCCACCUGGGACAGGUUCUUCAGCCUUUCCUUGUCACUGCAACGCUUUGGAUGGUUAUUUUGUAGGACAUUCCUCACUUUGGGUUUGUCUGAUGCUUUUUCCAUGACUGCACUGAGGUCAUGCAUCAGGGAAGUGAGGUUGUGCCCUUCUCGGGACACCAGAUAAGGCGUUGUGGAUGGGUCUAAUUACAGGCAUACCUCCUUUUACUGCACUUCACAGAUCUUGCUUUUUUAUUUUUUUUUAAACAAAUUGAAGGUUUUGGCAACCCUGCCCCAAGCAAGUUUGUUGGCACCAUUUUUCCAACAGCAUUUGCUCAUGUGUCUCUGUCACAUUUUGGUAAUUUUCACAAUGUUUCAGACUUCUUGAUCAUUAUUAUUAUAUUUGUUAUGGUGAUCUGUGAUCAGUGAUCAGUGAUAUUCCUGUUACCACUCGCUGAAGGCUCAGAUAGAUGAUAGCAUUUUUUAGCAAUGAAGUAUUUUUAAAUUAAGGUAUGGACUUUUGUUUUAGACGUAAUGCUUUUGCACACUUAAUAGACUACACUGUAGUGUAAACAUGACUUUCAUAUGCCCUGGGAAACCAGACAAUUUGUGUGACUUGCUUUAUUGUGAUAUUUGCUUUAUUGUGGAGGUCUGGAACUCCACCCGAAAUAUCUCCUACCAGCACCCAGUACUAGUCAUGGUAACUUUGAUCAAUUGGGCAAGUGAUGUCUCCCUGGGGUUUCUCACUGUAAAGUUUCUUUUGUCAUUAAUAAACAUCCUGUGGGGAGAUGCUUUAUGAUGCUGUAAAUAUCCUGUUUCUCAUCCUUCUUUUCCCCUCUAAUUUGAGCAUCCGUUGAUGAUUCUUGUUUGUAACAGUUAUUACUGGAGUUUUUACCAAAUGUCUUUUUCUAUAACCAUUGUUCCCCCCCUUUUUUUGUUUUUUAAAUUUUAUUUUAUUGAGUUAUAGUCAGUUUACAAUGUUGUGUCAAUUUCCAGUGUAGAAUGCAAUUUUUCAGUUAUACAGGAACAUACAUAUAUUCAUUGUCGCAUACUUUUUCACCGUGAGCUUCCACAAGAUCUUGUAUACAUUUCCCUGUCUAUACAGUAUAACCUUGUUUAUCUAUUCUACAUAUACCUGUCCGUAUCUACAAAUUUCCAACUCCCAGUCUGUCCCUUCCCACCCUUCCCCAUCUGUUAAUUGGAAUUCUACUGUGAAAAAGAGUUUUCUCUUUCCUCCAUUUAUUUAUUUAUGCCAUUAUGUUUACAUCUGCAUAGACUCUUGGAUGUUUGUUUCAUUCUAUGGGUUAUAAAUCAUGACAGUUACUUCUUUAUUUUUGCUCAAAUUAUACCAUAUUCCUUCAAGUCUUUGAUAUCCCUGAGUCUUUGAAUGUGCCUCCCCCCCUUUCCUCUGAGCACUUCCUGUGGUGAUCUGUGAUCAGUGAUGCUUUUUCAUUAGAAAGUAAGAUCUAGGCCCGGGGCAGAUUCCACUUGGUUAGAUGAAAAUGUGGAACUGGGCUGGCAUCAGGGCAGCUUGGGAAGGAGCAGGACAGAAUGUGCAGGGCUGAGAGGCAGAAGGACAAGCGGACUGUGAGACUGAGAGCCUGAGUGCGCCCAGGGAGGGAGGGCAGCUUGGCCACUCCAGCCUUGGCUGUGAGCACCUGUGGGAUGCGGGGCCUCCAUGCAAAUAACAGGAUGGAUUCAGAGCAACAGCGCCCCCCAGUCCACUGGGCUCCACGCAGAGCUUGCCUCUGGAGUAUGCACUUGGAGCCUGGGGUUGAAAGGGAGAGGCUGAUUUUUAUUUUCUCCCUUGAAUUGGUACCGUGGGAAUUUUUUUUUUUAACAAUAGCAUCCAUUAUUUUUAAAAUAAGGUCGACUUCCUUAUUUUUUUCUUGUUUGUUUUGUUUAUUUUUUCAGAAUGGGGAUUAGGUUUAUUUCUUUUUGAUAUAGAUACACUGGGGAUUGAACCCAGGACCUCACACACGAUGUAGAUACACUGGGGAUUGAAUCCAGGACCUCAUGCAUGCCAGGCACACACUCUACCACUGAGCUAUACUCACUCCCGUUUCUUUUCCUUUAACAGUGCCUGUAUUGUUUCCUUUUCUCAAACUGAAGGACAGUGGAGAGGAUGCAGAUAGAUUGUUUCAGUGGAGUUCACCCAUCUCAGAAAGUCUGGGCGAGGCUCCGGCAGCCCUCCGAAACAAAACCCUCAGGCUUCAGGGGGAAGAGGGGCUUUCAAACUCUCCUGAUUGUCACCUACAGGAAAAAAAACCCUAUUUUACAACAUGGCCUACUCUAUACACACAUUUUCAGCUUACGAUUUCCCAGCACCACUGUCAUCUUUGUUAUGUGUGACACAUUCUAUUUUUCGAUUCCAUGUGGGCUAUUUCCCGCUAGUUUGAUUUCACAAAGUACGGAUGGACGGAUCAGGACCCGUGGUUUCAAAAACAGCCCUCUAGGCCACUUUCUUAUUGCACAGACAGGGAAAGUGAAGCCUUAAGAAAGGAAGUGAAUGGCCAAACUACUGCAGCUUUUCAGGGUACAUUUACUUACAGCCUUUAAAACAAUGCUACGUUUUUACAGAUGUUGGGGAGAAAGAAGUCUGAAUAAUAAAGGUAGAUUUUUUUUGAAAGGGGGAGGUAAUUAAGUUUAUUUAGUAGAUUUUUAAAGUGUCAAGAGCUGGAUGAACCAGAGAUUUCUUGCCCUUUUCUUUUUAAAAAUUUUUAUUUAUUUUAUAUUACUGGGGGGGUAAUUAGGUUAUUUAUUUAUUUAUGUGAAUGGAAGAGGUUCUGGGGAUCGAACCCAGGACCUCAUGCAUGCUGAGCGUGGGCUCUACCACUGAGCUAUACCCUUCCCCACCUCCCCUACCCUUUUUCCAUAGCCUCAAGUUCCUAAUGUUGGAGGCCUUAAGCUCUUUAAAAUAAAACACGUUUUGCCCUUCACCA